UUGGCUCUCGCAUCGAUGAAGAACGCAGCGAAAUGCGAUAAGUAAUGUGAAUUGCAGAAUUCAGUGAAUCAUCGAAUCUUUGAACGCACCUUGCGCCCCUUGGUAUUCCGAGGGGCAUGCCUGUUUGAGUGUCAUUAAAUUCUCAACCUUACUAGC
RNAcentral lists this ribosomal RNA (156 nucleotides) under Gymnopilus penetrans. Its description in RNAcentral is "5.8S ribosomal RNA". The stretch from base 1 to 134 matches the Rfam family "5.8S ribosomal RNA", at positions 21 to 154 of the family's 154-position model. Rfam says of the family: 5.8S ribosomal RNA (5.8S rRNA) is a component of the large subunit of the eukaryotic ribosome. It is transcribed by RNA polymerase I as part of the 45S precursor that also contains 18S and 28S rRNA. Functionally, it is thought that 5.8S rRNA may be involved in ribosome translocation. The record is from RNAcentral. Lineage: Eukaryota; Fungi; Basidiomycota; Agaricomycetes; Agaricales; Galerinaceae.